GCGAGAUAGCUCAGUUGGCUAGAGCACAUGGUUCAUACCCAUGGUGUCGAGGGUUCGAAUCCCCCUCUCGC
RNAcentral lists this transfer RNA (71 nucleotides) under Lachnobacterium bovis. It matches the Rfam family "tRNA". Rfam says of the family: Transfer RNA (tRNA) molecules are approximately 80 nucleotides in length. The record is from RNAcentral. RNAcentral also lists the same sequence under 2 other names. Lineage: Bacteria; Bacillati; Bacillota; Clostridia; Lachnospirales; Lachnospiraceae.